Molecule: ribosomal RNA, 310 nt
Filed under: uncultured Photobacterium sp.
Lineage: Bacteria; Pseudomonadati; Pseudomonadota; Gammaproteobacteria; Vibrionales; Vibrionaceae
Description: bacterial SSU rRNA
Rfam family: Bacterial small subunit ribosomal RNA
Source: RNAcentral
GAUGAACGCUGACAGAAUGCUUAACACAUGCAAGUCGAGCGGUAACAGGAAUUAGCUUGCUAAUUUGCUGACGAGCGGCGGACGGGUGAGUAAUGCCUGGGAAUAUGCCUUGAUGUGGGGGAUAACUAUUGGAAACGAUAGCUAAUACCGCAUAAUGCCUUCGGGCCAAAGAGGGGGACCUUCGGGCCUCUCGCGUCAGGAUAUGCCCAGGUGGGAUUAGCUAGUUGGUGAGGUAAUGGCUCACCAAGGCGACGAUCCCUAGCUGGUCUGAGAGGAUGAUCAGCCACACUGGAACUGAGACACGGUCCAG